CCUACGGGAGGCAGCAGUGAGGAAUAUUGGUCAAUGGGCGCAAGCCUGAACCAGCCAUGCCGCGUGCAGGAAGAAUGCCCUAUGGGUUGUAAACUGCUUUUAUUUGGGAAUAAACCUCUUUACGUGUAGAGAGCUGAAGGUACCAAAUGAAUAAGCACCGGCUAACUCCGUGCCAGCAGCCGCGGUAAUACGGAGGGUGCAAGCGUUAUCCGGAAUCAUUGGGUUUAAAGGGUCCGCAGGCGGAUUUAUAAGUCAGUGGUGAAAUCCUAUCGCUUAACGAUAGAACUGCCAUUGAUACUGUAAGUCUUGAAUUCGGUCGGAGUGGGCGGAAUGUGUAGUGUAGCGGUGAAAUGCAUAGAUAUUACACAGAACACCGAUAGCGAAGGCAGCUCACUAGGCCUGAAUUGACGCUCAGGGACGAAAGCGUGGGGAUCAAACAGGAUUAGAUACCCUGGUAGUCCACGCUGUAAACGAUGAUUACUCGUUUUCGGCGAUAUACAGUCGGAGACUAAGCGAAAGUGAUAAGUAAUCCACCUGGGGAGUACGAUCGCAAGGUUGAAACUCAAAGGAAUUGACGG
Molecule: ribosomal RNA, 578 nt
Filed under: uncultured bacterium
Lineage: Bacteria
Description: bacterial SSU rRNA
Rfam family: Bacterial small subunit ribosomal RNA
Source: RNAcentral